CACUAUCGUUAACUGAAUACAUAGGUUAACGAGGCGAACCGGGGGAACUGAAACAUCUAAGUACCCCGAGGAAAAGAAAUCAACCGAGAUUCCCCCAGUAGCGGCGAGCGAACGGGGAGCAGCCCAGAGUCUGAAUCAGCUUGUGUGUUAGUGGAACGGUCUGGAAAGUCCGACGGUACAGGGUGAUAGUCCCGUACACCAAAAUGCACAGGCUGUGAACUCGAAGAGUAGGGCGGGACACGUGGUAUCCUGUCUGAAUAUGGGGGGACCAUCCUCCAAGGCUAAAUACUCCUGACUGACCGAUAGUGAACCAGUACCGUGAGGGAAAGGCGAAAAGAACCCCGGCGAGGGGAGUGAAAAAGAACCUGAAACCGUGUACGUACAAGCAGUGGGAGCACCUUCGGGUGUGACUGCGUACCUUUUGUAUAAUGGGUCAGCGACUUAUAUUCUGUAGCAAGGUUAACCGUAUAGGGGAGCCGCAGGGAAACCGAGUCUUAACUGGGCGUUAAGUUGCAGGGUAUAGACCCGAAACCCGGUGAUCUAGCCAUGGGCAGGUUGAAGGUUGGGUAACACUAACUGGAGGACCGAACCGACUAAUGUUGAAAAAUUAGCGGAUGACUUGUGGCUGGGGGUGAAAGGCCAAUCAAACCGGGAGAUAGCUGGUUCUCCCCGAAAGCUAUUUAGGUAGCGCCUCGUGAACUCAUCUUCGGGGGUAGAGCACUGUUUCGGCUAGGGGGUCAUCCCGACUUACCAACCCGAUGCAAACUACGAAUACCGAAGAAUGUUAUCACGGGAGACACACGGCGGGUGCUAACGUCCGUCGUGAAGAGGGAAACAACCCAGACCGCCAGCUAAGGUCCCAAAGUCAUGGUUAAGUGGGAAACGAUGUGGGAAGGCACAGACAGCCAGGAUGUUGGCUUAGAAGCAGCCAUCAUUUAAAGAAAGCGUAAUAGCUCACUGGUCGAGUCGGCCUGCGCGGAAGAUGUAACGGGGCUAAACCAUGCACCGAAGCUGCGGCAGCGACACUAUGUGUUGUUGGGUAGGGGAGCGUUCUGUAAGCCUGCGAAGGUGUGCUGUGAGGCAUGCUGGAGGUAUCAGAAGUGCGAAUGCUGACAUAAGUAACGAUAAAGCGGGUGAAAAGCCCGCUCGCCGGAAGACCAAGGGUUCCUGUCCAACGUUAAUCGGGGCAGGGUGAGUCGACCCCUAAGGCGAGGCCGAAAGGCGUAGUCGAUGGGAAACAGGUUAAUAUUCCUGUACUUGGUGUUACUGCGAAGGGGGGACGGAGAAGGCUAUGUUAGCCGGGCGACGGUUGUCCCGGUUUAAGCAUGUAGGCUGAUUGUCCAGGCAAAUCCGGAUAAUCAAGGCUGAGGUGUGAUGACGAGGCACUACGGUGCUGAAGUAACAAAUGCCCUGCUUCCAGGAAAAGCCUCUAAGCAUCAGGUAACAUCAAAUCGUACCCCAAACCGACACAGGUGGUCAGGUAGAGAAUACCAAGGCGCUUGAGAGAACUCGGGUGAAGGAACUAGGCAAAAUGGUGCCGUAACUUCGGGAGAAGGCACGCUGGUGUGUAGGUGAAGUCCCUGCGGAUGGAGCUGAGACCAGUCGAAGAUACCAGCUGGCUGCAACUGUUUAUUAAAAACACAGCACUGUGCAAACACGAAAGUGGACGUAUACGGUGUGACGCCUGCCCGGUGCCGGAAGGUUAAUUGAUGGGGUUAUCCGUAAGGAGAAGCUCUUGAUCGAAGCCCCGGUAAACGGCGGCCGUAACUAUAACGGUCCUAAGGUAGCGAAAUUCCUUGUCGGGUAAGUUCCGACCUGCACGAAUGGCGUAAUGAUGGCCAGGCUGUCUCCACCCGAGACUCAGUGAAAUUGAACUCGCUGUGAAGAUGCAGUGUACCCGCGGCAAGACGGAAAGACCCCGUGAACCUUUACUAUAGCUUGACACUGAACAUUGAGCCUUGAUGUGUAGGAUAGGUGGGAGGCUUUGAAGCGUGGACGCCAGUCUGCGUGGAGCCAACCUUGAAAUACCACCCUUUAAUGUUUGAUGUUCUAACGUUGGCCCCUUACCGGGGUUGCGGACAGUGUCUGGUGGGUAGUUUGACUGGGGCGGUCUCCUCCCAAAGCGUAACGGAGGAGCACGAAGGUUAGCUAAUCCUGGUCGGACAUCAGGAGGUUAGUGCAAUGGCAUAAGCUAGCUUGACUGCGAGCGUGACGGCGCGAGCAGGUGCGAAAGCAGGUCAUAGUGAUCCGGUGGUUCUGAAUGGAAGGGCCAUCGCUCAACGGAUAAAAGGUACUCCGGGGAUAACAGGCUGAUACCGCCCAAGAGUUCAUAUCGACGGCGGUGUUUGGCACCUCGAUGUCGGCUCAUCACAUCCUGGGGCUGAAGUAGGUCCCAAGGGUAUGGCUGUUCGCCAUUUAAAGUGGUACGCGAGCUGGGUUUAGAACGUCGUGAGACAGUUCGGUCCCUAUCUGCCGUGGGCGCUGGAGAAUUGAGGGGGGCUGCUCCUAGUACGAGAGGACCGGAGUGGACGCAUCACUGGUGUUCGGGUUGUCAUGCCAAUGGCACUGCCCGGUAGCUAAAUGCGGAAGAGAUAAGUGCUGAAAGCAUCUAAGCACGAAACUUGCCCCGAGAUGAGUUCUCCCUGAGACUUUAAGUCUCCUGAAGGAACGUUGAAGACGACGACGUUGAUAGGCCGGGUGUGUAAGCGCAGCGAUGCGUUGAGCUAACCGGUACUAAUGAACCGUGAGGCUUAACCUU
This 2758-nucleotide ribosomal RNA is filed under the name Klebsiella pneumoniae. RNAcentral's name for it is "bacterial LSU rRNA". It matches the Rfam family "Bacterial large subunit ribosomal RNA". Lineage: Bacteria; Pseudomonadati; Pseudomonadota; Gammaproteobacteria; Enterobacterales; Enterobacteriaceae. The record is from RNAcentral.